Daphnia carinata is the source of this 655-nucleotide long non-coding RNA. RefSeq lists it as uncharacterized. Lineage: Eukaryota; Metazoa; Arthropoda; Branchiopoda; Diplostraca; Daphniidae. The record is from RefSeq and is a predicted model, not a curated record. The transcript has 3 exons.
GUUUUCUUUGAAUUAUCUUUGUGCAGCUUAUUGGCUCCUGGUCCUUUUAUUAUGGCGGUCGGUUCCUGUAAAGUGUGCAACCAUAGGCAAAGGUUUUUGAUGAUGAUGACGGUGAAGUGGCGUCUUCCGACGCCAUAUAAUACCCGCCGUGUGUGCCUGGUGAAUUGGGAAAAUCAAACGAGAAGAAGAGAAGAAAAUAACAAUAACAACAGACGUCUGGACUGGCUAAAUGGCAACGAGGAGAAGGAGGAGCAGCGGAAGUGGCGGUGCCUCAUUUUCUGGCGCAAUUAGCCGUUGAAAUUACCCCACAAGGAUAUAUACACUCACACACACACUCGCUGGGCACAGCAGCAAACAAACCCUUAACCACUACACGCUUCAGGCAAAAGUCCAGCAGAGUUGCACGUCUUCCUACGUUUGGUGCAGGUAUAGAGGAACAAAAAGGUGUUAAUGAUGAGUUUACGUUUGCCCAACUCGCAUAACCAACAAGGAGCUUCUGAAUGGUACAACAACAGCAUAUGUUUGUAGCCGGGGCUAAUUACGUUUACAAGACAUUUCGAUGACUUGGCGUAGUCCUCCCACCUUUAAAAAAAAUAUGGCCCAGCAUAAGAGACAGGUGACCGCAAAAGAAGCGUCCGGCGUCUACAGGAGUCAC